UACGGAAGGCAGCAGUGGGGAAUAUUGGACAAUGGGCGAAAGCCUGAUCCAGCCAUGCCGCAUGAGUGAAGAAGGCCUUCGGGUUGUAAAGCUCUUUUAGUGAGAAAGAUAAUGACGGUACUCACAGAAGAAGUCCUGGCUAACUCCGUGCCAGCAGCCGCGGUAAUACGGAGAGGGCUAGCGUUAUUCGGAAUUAUUGGGCGUAAAGAGCGCGUAGGCUGAUUAGUAAGUUAAAAGUGAAAUCCCAAAGCUUAACUUUGGAAUUGCUUUUUAAAACUGCUAGUCUAGAGAUUUGAAAGAGGAUAGAGGAAUUCCUAGUGUAGAGGUGAAAUUCGUAAAUAUUAGGAGGAACACCAGUGGCGAAGGCGUCUAUCUGGUUCAAAUCUGACGCUGAGGCGCGAAGGGCGUGGGGAGCAAACAGGGAUUAGAUACC
RNAcentral lists this ribosomal RNA (433 nucleotides) under uncultured bacterium. RNAcentral's name for it is "bacterial SSU rRNA". It matches the Rfam family "Bacterial small subunit ribosomal RNA", at positions 340 to 786 of the family's 1533-position model. The record is from RNAcentral.